Molecule: ribosomal RNA, 704 nt
Filed under: uncultured Enterobacteriaceae bacterium
Lineage: Bacteria; Pseudomonadati; Pseudomonadota; Gammaproteobacteria; Enterobacterales; Enterobacteriaceae
Description: bacterial SSU rRNA
Rfam family: Bacterial small subunit ribosomal RNA
Source: RNAcentral
ACGCUGUAAACGAUGUCGAUUUGGAGUUUGGGGGCAUGACCCUUGGGCUCCGGAGCUAACGCGUUAAAUCGACCGCUGGGGAGUACGGCCGCAAGGUUAAAACUCAAAUGAAUUGACGGGGGCCCGCACAAGCGGUGGAGCAUGUGGUUUAAUUCGAUGCAACGCGAAGAACCUUACUGGUCUUGACAUCCAUAGAAUCUUUCAGAGAUGAGAGAGUGCCUUCGGGAGCUAUGAGACAGGUGCUGCAUGGCUGUCGUCAGCUCGUGUUGUGAAAUGUUGGGUUAAGUCCCGCAACGAGCGCAACCCCUAUCCUUUGUUGCCAGCACGUAAUGGUGGGAACUCAAAGGAGACUGCCGUUGAUAAAGCGGAGGAAGGUGGGGACGACGUCAAGUCAUCAUGGCCCUUACGACCAGGGCUACACACGUGCUACAAUGGCGUAUACAAAGGGAUGCGAAGGUGCGAACUGGAGCGGACCUCACAAAGUACGUCUAAGUCCGGAUUGGAGUCUGCAACUCGACUCCAUGAAGUCGGAAUCGCUAGUAAUCGUGAAUCAGAAUGUCACGGUGAAUACGUUCCCGGGCCUUGUACACACCGCCCGUCACACCAUGGGAGUGGGUUGCACCAGAAGUAGAUAGCUUAACCUUCGGGAGGGCGUUUACCACGGUGUGGUUCAUGACUGGGGUGAAGUCGUAACAAGGUAACCA